Molecule: non-coding RNA, 1188 nt
Filed under: Meretrix lamarckii (Korean hard clam)
Lineage: Eukaryota; Metazoa; Mollusca; Bivalvia; Venerida; Veneridae
Source: RNAcentral
ACCGAAGUUAAUUAAGGUUUUGGCUUUGAUGUUAUUUUAGAAUAUUGUGUGUUUUUUGAGUAAAGUGUGUUGGCUUUCAGCACUAUAUUAGCUAUAAUAAAACAUUAAUUGUGCAUGAAAUUUAAAGAGUUCUUGAGAGGGGAAUACGGUUGGAAAAGGUUUUAAUAAUUUUUUGUAGUUGGUUGUAUCUAUUAGUUGGGACCUUAAUAAGUUAGGGGUGUUACAUUGAUGGAUGAUUUGUUUCUCAACAUCAGCAGUUAGGAUUUGGAUAUUAUAGAAAUAUAGACUAGGUAAUUGUUUUUAGGAGGGAUGAAUGAUGUGCCAGCAUUCGCGGUUAGACAUCUCCUUCGAGUUAAUAUAUAAUCGUAGGGCAGUGAGGUUGGAGUAAAGUUGGAAAGUUUUGUCGGCGGAUUUAGCGGUGAAAUGUGUAAAUAAUCUAAGUCAAAUAUAUGUUUUUGUGUAGUAUUGUUUGGCUGUGCUGUGUACUGUAAAACUUUAAAAAUUUAAGCUGAGAAAGCUGUUUAUUAAAAACAAGGAUUAGAGACCCUUUUAUUUAAGCUGAAACUAGGUUUACCUACGGGUAUGAUGAACGUUAUAAUAAGUUUAGUAGCUUAUGAGAGUUGGCGGCAUUUUGCAACCUUUUAGGGGAACUUGGCGUUUAAAUCGAUGAUCCUCGAAAAUCUUACCUCUAAUUUUCCUUUCAUACCGCCGUUGUCAGCGAGUUUUGAAAAAUUAAUUUGCGUAUACAAAAUCUAAAUUAGUUUAGUGGAAUAUUUGGGUUUGUAAGAAUUCAGGUAGACGUGUAGGUGUUUUAGAGGGAUUAGCUGAGUUCCAAUUAUUAAAUAAUAGCGGAUGAGUUAGUUGUCUACUGGUGUAAAACUUGCUUGAUUUAGGUUAAGUGUUUUUUGUACUGGGGUUUCUGAAAGGUAUUUCUGAAGAUGGACUUUAUAGUAAAAUUUUUUAUAAGCAAGAAAUUUGAAUUGAGUAAAAAAAAUGUGUACAAAUCGCCCGGUGUCCUUCUCGUAAGAAGAGGUAAGCCGUAACAUAGUGAUGCUAGUAGAAACUGGUGUCGAUGAUAGCAGUAAUUAGGGGGUUGUUGGUUGUUUAAUUAUGACGUAAUUGGAAAUAUUUCUUUAUUGUUUUAAAAUAUUGUGUGUGGUGUGUUUGUAGUGUGGUUUGUUGUAAGUU